GAUGAAGAACGCAGCGAAAUGCGAUACGUAAUGUGAAUUGCAGAAUUCAGUGAAUCAUCGAAUCUUUGAACGCACAUUGCGCCCGCCAGCACUCUGGCGGGCAUGCCUGUUCGAGCGUCAUUUCAACCAUCAAGCCCCAGGCUUGCGUUGGAGCCCUGCGGCUGCCGCAGCCUCCUAAAAGCAGUGGCGGGCUCGCUAUCACACCGAGUGCAGUAGAGUACUCUUCGCUCAGGGCGUGCAGCGGGUUCCGGCCGUGAAACCCCCUACUUUUAAAGGUUGACCUCGGAUCAGGUAGGAAUACCCGCUGAACUUAAGCAUAUCAAUAAGCGGAGGA
RNAcentral lists this unclassified non-coding RNA (334 nucleotides) under soil metagenome. RNAcentral's name for it is "partial contains 5.8S ribosomal RNA, internal transcribed spacer 2, and large subunit ribosomal RNA". The stretch from base 1 to 120 matches the Rfam family "5.8S ribosomal RNA", at positions 35 to 154 of the family's 154-position model. The record is from RNAcentral.